This 95-nucleotide transfer RNA is filed under the name Pleomorphomonas sp. T1.2MG-36. RNAcentral describes it as "tRNA-Gly(gcc)". The record is from RNAcentral. Lineage: Bacteria; Pseudomonadati; Pseudomonadota; Alphaproteobacteria; Hyphomicrobiales; Pleomorphomonadaceae.
GGCGAGCGUCGAGAGGACGACUUGCUUGCCUGCCGCCUGCAGGCGCUCGAUCAAUUCCGGCCAGAGACCGUCGGUGAAAGGCUGACGCUUGCCGC